GUAUUGACUUUGUCCAUGUGGGCAGCUGCAGAUUUUAUUUUUUCUUGAUGGUGUUAGCUUUAGAGCAUGUGGGUUCUUCUUGGUCAGCAACCUCUCCACUUCUGUUGAUUUAAAAUUUACUUCACUGUGGACAGUGGCACUGGUGUUUCAGCAGCUUCCAGUUUAUGGGAGACUCCAGCCUUGGUGAUUCCUGGCAUGUUCUUGAAUAUCCUAACCAAUUUUCUUUUUUCUGAGGGAGACAGUUUGGGUCAAUUGACAAUGAUCACAUGCACACCUCCAAACUGGUUUUAAAAUGGAUAAAGUUUCCUGAAUGGCCUCCCCAAAGUCCGAACGCUACCCUACCAAAAAUUUAUGAACUGUGUUUGAAAGCCAAGCUUGUGGCAGAAUAUUAACUAAUUUAAAAGAUCUCUACUAGGAGGAGAGCUAAAAUGGACAGCCAGAAGCUUUUUCGGCUGCAAAACAAAAUGGAGUGGAUGUUGGAAUCCAGGUGUGUGCUGUCUUUGGUUAGCUUCUGUUUUUCCCCUGAGAGAGCAGGUUUAGUUGGUGGGUGGAGGUGGGCUGUUGCAGCCUUCACACCUGCAACGGAUCAGGCUCAUCUGGGGAGCUUGAAGUAGCUGGUUGCCGGACAUCUGAUGCCUGGUACUCUCUAGAAGCCUCGUCUUCAUCUCUGCUAGCAAGGCUCCUAAUUAAUGCUCCUUAGCUCAAUAACCUUCUGGAUCUCAGCACGACUACCGGCACACCCUGGGCUCCUCGCUCCAGAAAUCCUGUCCACCCUCCAACAAACCGCUCUCUACAUCCACUGCUCAGACAGCCACCAUGGAUUCAGUUACUUCCCUCCAGCCUGGAUCUCCUUUCCCACCAUGGUGUGCCAGAUUGAACCACAGAAGCCUCUUCCAUAUCCUGUGCAACUGACUUCUUCAAAUAAACUGUUAAACUUUACAAGUCUCCUGAGAGUUUCUGCAUGUGGGUCAGAAAGCUAUCUAACACUAUGACAGUGGAUGUGCAACAUUUAACUAAAUAAUAUUAGGGACUUAUGUAGAUAUGUGUACUAUUUUCUUUGUGGUAAACACUAAAAAUAAAUAUAUUUAUGCCCAUAAUGAGUUCACACCAUAAAGUGUUACUGGUACAAGUGAAUGAUAUUCCUUUUAAUAUUUAUAAGGUUUCCAUUUAAAAGUAUCAUGGCAUUUGUUUUUAGCUAUUAAAACACUCUCAGUUAGUGCUUUUCAAAAUGAUGGUAACUUGAAUUGUUUGCAUCUUUCUAAUGUCGUUUUUUUUAGGGUUUGGUGGUUUCUUUGGUGCGACUUCUUUAUCUUCUAAUUUCCUCUGCUUCAUAUGUUUAGUUUUAAGGUGAUUAUUGGAAACUUAUCGACUCCCUCUGGUUUUAUAUUUACACUCUCAAACCGUGGCAAAUCGUCAACAAAAAGACACUCUUAUUUAAAAUGGCACAGUUUGGCCAUAAAAUGUGCUCAAUGACACUUUAAAGACAUCUGUAUUAGAUCCGUUAGAAUAUUUUUCAGAGUUCCUGCACAGUGUUGAAAAGCUUGAAAAAUGAGAAUUGGAUUUCAGUAUUUUCCAGGUCUACAAAGGUGUGGAAUAUUAAAAUAAAAGUGUGGAAAACUUA
Long non-coding RNA from Girardinichthys multiradiatus, 1621 nucleotides. RefSeq lists it as uncharacterized. The record is from RefSeq and is a predicted model, not a curated record. Lineage: Eukaryota; Metazoa; Chordata; Actinopteri; Cyprinodontiformes; Goodeidae. The transcript has 3 exons.